CCCAGGGGAAGAGGUGAAAUUCCUCAGCUCUCCACCAAGAUUGGCCACAAAAGCCUGAUCCCCUGGAACACAGCAGGCCUCACCUAGAGGGUCAGCCAUUGGAUCAUAGGAACUGCCCUGGCUUGACUCACCCAAUAUGGAGGAGGUGCCUGGGGAUGCCCCGUGUGAACACUUUGAGGCCAACAUGCUUACCCAGAACCGCUGUCAAAACUGCUUCCACCCUGAAGAGGCCCAUGGAGCAAGAUACCAGGAGCUCAGGAGCCCUUCAGGUGCUGAGGUGCCCUACUGCGACCUGCCUCGAUGCCCGCCUGCCCCUGAGGACCCACUCAGCGCCUCAACCUCCGGCUGCCAGUCUGUGGCGGACCCGGGCCUCAGGCCAGAGCCCAAGAGGACUGGGACACUGUUGAGAGGCAGGAGGAGGCCCCCAGCUGGGACGAGCUCGCAGUGAUGAUCCUGAGGAGGCCUCGGGAGAGGCCAAGAGCUGACAGCUCCCAAAGGGCUCCGUCUCUCCUCACCAGGUCCCCUGUGGGAGGAGAUGCUGCAGGCCAGAAAAAGGAGGACACCGGUGGUGGGGGCUGGAGCGCAGGACAGCACUGGGCAAGGCUCCGGGGAGAAAGCAAGUUCUCCCUGGAGCGGCACCGGUCAACACUGACCCAGGCUUCCUCCAUGACACCACACAGCGGACCUCGAAGCACCACGUUUCAGGCUUCUCCUGCCCAAAGGGACACUGCUCAGGCUGCCUCUACACGUGAAACCCCCAGAGCCUCCUCUCCCCACCGAAUCACCCAAAGGGACACCUCCAGGGCCUCAUCCACCCAAGAGGACACCCCCAGGGCCUCAUCUACACAGUGGAACACCCCCAGAGCUUCCUCUCCCUCACGAAGCACCCAACAGGAUAACCCCAGAACCUCUUCUACCCAGCAGGACAACCCCCAAACUUCUUUUCCUACUUGUACUCCCCAACGGGAAAACCCCAGGACACCCUGUGUCCAGCAGGACGAUCCCAGAGCCUCCUCUCCCAACAGAACCACUCAACGAGAGAAUUCCAGACCAUCCUGUGCCCAGCGGGACAAUCCCAGAGCCUCCAGAACCUCCUCUCCCAAUAGAGCCACACAAGACAGCCCCAGAACAUCCUGUGCCCAGCAGGACAAUCCCAGAGCCUCCUCUCCUAACAGAACCACCCAACAAGAGAACCCCAGAACAUCCUGUGCCCGACGGGACAAUCCCAGAGCCUCCUCUCCCAACAGAACCACCCAACAAGACAGCCCAGAACAUCCUAUGCCCGACGGGACAAUCCCAGAGCCUCCUCUCCCAACAGAACCACCCAACGAGGCAGCCCCAGAACAUCCUGUGCCCGAUGGGACAAUCCCAGAGCCUCCUCUCCCAACAGAGCCACCCAACAGGACAACCCCAGAACAUCCUGUGCCCGACGGGACAAUCCCAGAGCCUCCUCUCCCAACAGAACCACCCAACGAGGCAGCCCCAGAACAUCCUGUGCCCGAUGGGACAAUCCCAGAGCCUCCUCUCCCAACAGAACCAUCCAACAGGACAACCCCAGAACAUCCUGUGCCCGACGGGACAAUCCCAGAGCCUCCUCUCCCAACAGAACCACUCAACGAGACAGCCCCAGAACAUCCUGUGCCAGACGGGACAAUCCCAGAGCCUCCUCUCCUAACAGAACCACCCAACAAGAGAACCCCAGAACAUCCUGUGCCCGACGGGACAAUCCCAAAGCCUCCUCUCCCAUCAGAGCCACCCAACAGGACAACCCCAGAACAUCCUGUGCCCAGCGGGACAAUCCCAGAGCCUCCUCUCCCAUCAGAGCCACCCAACAGGACAACCCCAGAACUUGUAUUCAACAGAACAUCCCCAGAUCAUCUUCUACCCAACAAGACAACCCUAAAAUCUCUUGUACCAAACGGGAUAACCUCAGACGCACUAGUACACAGCGGGACCGCACACAGUCCUUUUCCUUUCAACGAGACAACCCUGGAACCUCCUCAUCUCAAUGCUGCACCCAAAAGGAGAAUCUGAGACCAUCAUCUCCCCACCGCUCCACUCAAUGGAACAAUCCCAGGAAUUCAUCUCCCCAUCGUACUAACAAAGACAUCCCCUGGGCCUCGUUUCCCCUCCGGCCAACUCAGAGUGAUGGUCCCCGAACCUCUUCCCCAUCUCGCUCCAAGCAAAGUGAGGUUCCCUGGGCAUCCAUUGCCCUCCGGCCAACCCAAGGUGACAGGCCUCAGACAUCCUCUCCCAGCAGGCCAGCCCAGCAUGACCCACCCCAGUCCUCCUUUGGCCCCACCCAGUACAACUUGCCAUCCCGGGCCACCUCUUCCCCCCAUAACCCAGGCCACCAGAGCACCUCCCGGACUUCCUCACCUGUGUACCCCGCUGCCUAUGGGGCUCCCCUGACCUCUCCUGAGCCCUCCCAGCCUCCAUGUGCUGUGUGCAUUGGGCACCGGGAUGCCCCUCGAGCCUCUUCGCCCCCUCGCUAUUUGCAGCACGACCCCUUCCCCUUCUUCCCAGAGCCCCGCGCCCCUGAGAGAGAAUUGCCCCAGCACGAGCCUCCCUAUAUACCACCUGCUGUGUGCAUUGGACACCGAGAUGCCCCCCGGCGUCCUCGCCCCCCCGCCACACCCAAUUUGACCCCUUCCCUUCCUCCCAGACACAUCAGAUGCCGAGCAUCAGUGUCAGUCCCCCCAACACGAGCCCCUUCAUCUCCCUGCACCUGUGUGUAUUGGGUACCGAGACGCACCCCGGGCCUCCUCCCCACCACGCCAGGCCCCAGAGCCUUCCCUCUUAUUCCAGGACCUCCCCAGGGCCAGCACAGAGAGCCUUGUCCCUUCCAUGGACUCUCUGCACGAGUGCCCCCACAUCCCCACCCCUGUGUGCAUUGGGCACCGGGAUGCACCCUCCUUCUCAUCCCCACCACGCCAGGCUCCUGAGCCAUCCCUCUUCUUCCAGGACCCCCCUGGAACUAGUAUGGAGAGCCUGGCCCCCUCCACUGACUCUCUGCAUGGCUCCCCAUUGCUGAUCCCCCAAGUGUGCAUCGGGCACCGGGAUGCACCCCGAGCCUCCUCCCCACCCCGCCACCCACCCAGUGACCUAGCGUUUCUGGCACCCUCACCUUCGCCGGGCAGCUCCGGGGGCUCCCGGGGCUCAGCGCCUCCCGGGGAGACCAGGCACAACUUGGAGCGGGAGGAGUACACUGUGCUGGCUGACCUGCCCCCACCCAGGAGGCUGGCCCAGAGACAGCCAGGGCCCCAGGCGCAGUGCAGCAGCGGGGGCCGCACCCGCAGCCCUGGCCGCGCAGAGGUGGAGCGCCUCUUCGGGCAAGAGCGCAGGUGAGCCCGGGGGGGGGGUCAGCCAGGUGGGCUGGGGAGGAGGCUCGGCAGCAGGACAGGUGAAGGG
RNAcentral lists this small RNA (3411 nucleotides) under Pongo abelii (Sumatran orangutan). RNAcentral describes it as "retained intron". Lineage: Eukaryota; Metazoa; Chordata; Mammalia; Primates; Hominidae. The record is from RNAcentral.